RNAcentral lists this ribosomal RNA (450 nucleotides) under uncultured bacterium. RNAcentral describes it as "bacterial SSU rRNA". It matches the Rfam family "Bacterial small subunit ribosomal RNA", at positions 328 to 794 of the family's 1533-position model. The record is from RNAcentral.
GGACCAGACUCCUACGGGAGGCAGCAGUGGGGAAUAUUGCACAAUGGGGGAAACCCUGAUGCAGCGACGCCGCGUGAGUGAAGAAGUAAUUCGUUCUGUAAAGCCCUAUCGGCAGGGAAGAAGCAAGACGGUACCUGACUAAGAAGCCCCGGCUAACUACGUGCCAGCAGCCGCGGUAAUACGUAGGGGGCGAGCGUUAUCCGGAUUCACUGGGUGUAAAGGGAGCGUAGACGGCCAUGCAAGCCAGGGGUGAAAGCCCGGGGCCCAACCCCGGGACUGCCCUUGGAACUGUGCGGCUAGAGUGCGGGAGGGGCAGGCGGAAUUCCUGGUGUAGCGGUGAAAUGCGUAGAUAUCAGGAGGAACACCGGUGGCGAAGGCGGCCUGCUGGACUGCAACUGACGUUGAGGCCCGAAAGCGUGGGGAGCAAACAGGAUUAGAUACCCCGGUAAU